UACGUAGGGUGCAAGCGUUAAUCGGAAUUACUGGGCGUAAAGCGUGCGCAGGCGGUUAUGUAAGACAGGUGUGAAAUCCCCGGGCUUAACCUGGGAACUGGCAUUUUGUGACUGCAUAGCUAGAGUACGGUAGAGGGGGAUGGAAUUCCGCGUGUAGCAGUGAAAUGCGUAGAUAUGCGGAGGAACACCGGAUGGCGAAGGCAAUCCCCUGGACCUGUACUGACGCUCAUGCACGAAAGCGUGGGGAGCA
RNAcentral lists this ribosomal RNA (250 nucleotides) under uncultured bacterium. Its description in RNAcentral is "partial 16S ribosomal RNA". It matches the Rfam family "Bacterial small subunit ribosomal RNA", at positions 524 to 770 of the family's 1533-position model. The record is from RNAcentral.